This 865-nucleotide ribosomal RNA is filed under the name uncultured bacterium. RNAcentral describes it as "bacterial SSU rRNA". It matches the Rfam family "Bacterial small subunit ribosomal RNA", at positions 54 to 916 of the family's 1533-position model. The record is from RNAcentral.
CAUGCAGUCGAGGGGCAGCAUUGGAGUAGCAAUACUUCAGAUGGCGACCGGCGCACCGGUGAGUAACACGUAUCCAACCUGCCGAUAACUCGGGGAUAGCCUUUCGAAAGAAAGAUUAAUACCCGAUAGUAUAAUGAAACCGCAUGGUCUUAUUAUUAAAGAAUUUCGGUUAUCGAUGGGGAUGCGUUCCAUUAGGCAGUUGGUGAGGUAACGGCUCACCAAACCUUCGAUGGAUAGGGGUUCUGAGAGGAAGGUCCCCCACAUUGGAACUGAGACACGGUCCAAACUCCUACGGGAGGCAGCAGUGAGGAAUAUUGGUCAAUGGGCGCAGGCCUGAACCAGCCAAGUAGCGUGAAGGAUGACUGCCCUAUGGGUUGUAAACUUCUUUUAUAUGGGAAUAAAGUGGUCCACGUGUGGAUUUUUGUAUGUACCAUAUGAAUAAGGAUCGGCUAACUCCGUGCCAGCAGCCGCGGUAAUACGGAGGAUCCGAGCGUUAUCCGGAUUUAUUGGGUUUAAAGGGAGCGUAGGUGGACAGUUAAGUCAGUUGUGAAAGUUUGCGGCUCAACCGUAAAAUUGCAGUUGAUACUGGCUGUCUUGAGUACAGUAGAGGUGGGCGGAAUUCGUGGUGUAGCGGUGAAAUGCUUAGAUAUCACGAAGAACUCCGAUUGCGAAGGCAGCUCACUGGACUGCAACUGACACUGAUGCUCGAAAGUGUGCGUAUCAAACAGGAUUAGAUACCCUGGCUAGUCCACACAGUAAACGAUGAAUACUCGCUGUUUGCGAUAUACAGUAAGCGGCGAGCGCAAGCAUUAAGUAUUCCACCUGGGGAGUACGCCGGCAACGGUGAAACUCAAAGGAAUGACGG